Molecule: unclassified non-coding RNA, 414 nt
Filed under: Brickellia simplex
Lineage: Eukaryota; Viridiplantae; Streptophyta; Magnoliopsida; Asterales; Asteraceae
Description: partial external transcribed spacer
Source: RNAcentral
ACUUUCUUGUUAGACACAACCCAACACGCUGGUGUAACACCAAUGCGAGUUGAGCAGUCAUUUUAGGGACAGUAAAACACUUAAAAUGGGGGGACAUAAAAAGGAUCCAAUACGACCCAUGCCCACAUCAUGUUCUAUAUUAAAGAGACCAAGCAGUGUUCAAUAGACCACUACACCAACAUACCAGUUAACGAUGUGGUUCAAAGAGACAGCAUUAAGGUUUCAUCUAAUGUCAUGAGCAUGACACAAGACGAAAGGAACUGAUACAAACCAAAUAGAUGCCUUAUUGGAGAGGCAGGAAAAACACAAGAAACCCACAAUUUGGUAAGGGCAUAGAAGCCUUAACAUAUAAAAGCAAGGUUUGACAGGUGGCAGUUGUUGCACAAGCAAAGAGCCAACCACCAAAAACAAACC